This 568-nucleotide long non-coding RNA is filed under the name Mytilus galloprovincialis (Mediterranean mussel). The record is from RNAcentral. Lineage: Eukaryota; Metazoa; Mollusca; Bivalvia; Mytilida; Mytilidae.
AAAUAGAAUAAUUAGUAUAAGAUAAGAUUUUUUGUUUGAUGCAAACAUUAAACAAAAUGUUGUAGUAUUUCUCGUCUAGAAGGUAUUAUCAAUUGUAACUUGAGACGGAAAGCAAAAACCAUUGAGCAUAUUUAGAUGACAUAUAAAAAGAAGAUGUGUUAUGACUGCCAAUGAAACAACUCCCCAAAAGAGACCAAAUGACACGUAAAAUAUGCUUAAGUCAUCAGAUGGAUACAAAUAGAAAUAAAUCUAACAAAAACUCAGAGUGGACGUGUACAUUUUUAUCAUUUUUUCUUUGCAGAAAAGGAGUACUUAUUGAUUUGUAUCCAGUCUCCUCAUUAAUGACUUGAUCUUCAGUGGAUAAUACCUUUUAGAUGUCAAAGUAACAUGUACAUAUAAACAGUGCAAUAGUCAUUAGUUAUAUCUAACACGAAGAUAUACAGGACGUAGCCGAGCUUUAUUACAUUCGGACAUAAUAUAUUAUUACAGAAGUUAGAAUUUUUUAUACUACAUUAAAAUUACUAAUAAAUGAUAUAGUGUUUUUGUUGAACACAAAACACACGAACAC